UACGGGGGGAGCAAGCGUUGUUCGGAUUUACUGGGCGUAAAGGGCGCGUAGGCGGCCAGCACAAGUCAGUUGUGAAAUCUCCGAGCUUAACUCGGAACGGUCAACUGAUACUGUGCGGCUAGAGUGCGGAAGGGGCAACUGGAAUUCUUGGUGUAGCGGUGAAAUGCGUAGAUAUCAAGAGGAACACCUGCGGCGAAGGCGGGUUGCUGGGCCGACACUGACGCUGAGGCGCGAAAGCGUGGGGAGCAAACAGG
Molecule: ribosomal RNA, 254 nt
Filed under: uncultured bacterium
Lineage: Bacteria
Description: partial 16S ribosomal RNA
Rfam family: Bacterial small subunit ribosomal RNA
Source: RNAcentral